GGCUAAUGACGGGCUAGACGGCGGGGUAAUACGUAGGGGGCAAGGGUUGUCCGGAAUUAUUGGGCGUAAAGGGAGCGCAGGUGGGAAUGUAAGUCAAUCUUAAAAGGGCGGGGGUCAACCCCGUGAGGGGAUAGAGACUACAGUUCUUGAGUGCAGGAGAGGAAAGUGGAAUUCCUAGUGUAGCGGUGAAAUGCGUAGAUAUUAGGAGGAACACCAGUGGCGAAGGCGACUUUCUGGACUGUUACUGACACUGAGGCUCGAAAGCUAGGGGAGCGAACGGGAUUAGAUACCCGUGUAGUC
Molecule: ribosomal RNA, 300 nt
Filed under: uncultured Desulfitobacterium sp.
Lineage: Bacteria; Bacillati; Bacillota; Clostridia; Eubacteriales; Desulfitobacteriaceae
Description: bacterial SSU rRNA
Rfam family: Bacterial small subunit ribosomal RNA
Source: RNAcentral